GCCGGGAUGGUGGAACGGCAUACACGGAAGUCUCAAACACUUCUGCCCGAAAGGGCUUGCGGGUUCGAAUCCCGCUCCCGGCACCU
This 86-nucleotide transfer RNA is filed under the name Micromonospora noduli. Its description in RNAcentral is "tRNA-Leu". It matches the Rfam family "tRNA". Rfam says of the family: Transfer RNA (tRNA) molecules are approximately 80 nucleotides in length. Their secondary structure includes four short double-helical elements and three loops (D, anti-codon, and T loops). Lineage: Bacteria; Bacillati; Actinomycetota; Actinomycetes; Micromonosporales; Micromonosporaceae. RNAcentral also lists the same sequence under 2 other names. The record is from RNAcentral.